CCUUUUUUUGCUAAUUACUCGACCAAAUAACUAAGAAUAAAAUUUCUAGCGAAUGAAAAUAAGAUUACUUUUCUUCACAUCAGCAAGUGAAAAUAAGAUUAUUUUUCUUCACAUCAAUAGCUACUUUUACUUACAAAAAUAUUUAUUUGAGGAAAUAAUUAAAAGUACAAACUCUCAUACAUAAAAGUUUCAAUUAUCAUGAACAAAUAUAAUAAUUUAGAAACAUUACAUUACA
Molecule: long non-coding RNA, 235 nt
Filed under: Salvia miltiorrhiza (redroot sage)
Lineage: Eukaryota; Viridiplantae; Streptophyta; Magnoliopsida; Lamiales; Lamiaceae
Description: long non-coding RNA (SMIL_LNC009087)
Source: RNAcentral